This is a long non-coding RNA of Aptenodytes forsteri (emperor penguin), 2231 nucleotides long. RefSeq lists it as uncharacterized. The record is from RefSeq and is a predicted model, not a curated record. Lineage: Eukaryota; Metazoa; Chordata; Aves; Sphenisciformes; Spheniscidae. The transcript has 2 exons.
GGUGACUGAGGUGAACCUAUCAAGUCGGAGCAUUUCUCUUCAAUGGUUUUUGGCUACAUACCCUAAUACUCAUCAAACAGCUCCUAAAUUAGAAGAGCUGUGCCUUCCUCUCGUCCGUGAAUUCUGACAGAUAGAAGUUUUGAAUAACAUUGGCAGCAAAGUCAGGACAGAGCGAUGCAGAAUUCGAUCUCUCUCGGAAUUCAUUUUAAGACUGAAGCUUUUAUUUUUUACAACCAUGUUUUUUUUUUUUAACAAAGAUGUAAUACAUAGCAGCGUGGUAAGAAGCCAAAUUUAUUACCUGGCCUCAAUCACAGAGUAAGAUUACUGGAGUUAUCUGUUGCACAGCAAGGGGCAAUAUGCAUUCAUUAAUAGCCAGUGUUACACACAGGGAUACAUUCGGCUUCUGUCUGUUAUUUUAAAAUAACAUUCUCCUGCAUGAGUGUUCAGUGAGGUUGCUCUUUCCUUAGCAAACAUUUGUGAAAGAAGAGGAAAUUGCACUAGGUGCUUAGUGCAUAAGCUAGCUCAUUUUUGCUAGCUGUAGGGUAUUGUUAAGUAUGAGCUGUUUUUAUUUGAACUCAGCUAAUUUUAUUUAAAAUACCUUCUGUUCAUUUAUUCUAAAGCUGUAUCCCCAGACUCAUUAAGAAGAGUUUAAUGAGGUAGAAAUCCAUUUAAAGUGGGGGGUUUUCCAUAUAUGUAUUUGUGAUAUAAAUUGAUUGUUAAGUAAAAUGGAUUAUGCUGCAGUCUGAGCAAAUUAUGUAAGCAGAUGAUAAAGGGAUACUAAUAUACAAGGAUAUUGAUUGUUCUUUGUUGCACUACCAUUACUUACACCAGGAUUUGAUGGAGAAUGUUUACUCAUGUGCAAGUUUCAACACAAAUGCCUGUGAAAGUGUAUAGCAAAAUUAGUAUGACAUCAUUGUUUAUUUAUAGAUUUUUGGUGUAAUUAUGUCAUAUUUUCCUUGGGAAGCCAAAUUCAUUUUGUUGUAAUGCAUCUUGCAUUUCUUGAAUCUUACUGGGCCAUAGUUAGGUUAAAGACCUCUCUGUAUGCCAAAGAAUGAUAGUAAAUUUGUUGGUUAAAUUUUAGAUGAGAGUUUGGAUUUGAUUGUGGGUUUUGUAUAGAAAAGAACCUCCUGACAUCUAAAGAAUAUAUCCAUGCAUAAAAUGUAUUGAUAUUUUUAUCAGUUAUUAUAUAAAGACAUUUUGCUGCACGUUUUGGAUUUGACAGCUGUCGCAGAACAUAUCUUGUAUCCUCUCUGCUUCUUGUCUCUGGAGCAGAGAGUAGGUAUUUUCAGACUGGUAUCCAGAAGACAUUUCUGGUUAUUUUCACAUCAGUUCUCUUUCAGAGGGGCAGAUGGCAGUAUGAACCAUUUCUCACAAAUUUCAGUGGACAUGUGUUUUGCCUUACCCUUUGUGUGAAUGGUCAUGCAUAUUUCAUGUACGUUUAAUGGAAUGAAUCCUUUUGUGAAGAGGGGGGUGGGUGCUGGGAGCACUGCCUCUGCAGGUUCUUGGCUUUUUCCUGUUUAUCAGAGGAUGAAAUGCUAGAGGUGUCUUUCAGUACCAAAAUGAUCUCAAGUGGUCUUGAAUUCUUCCCUAGGGAUGAUUUUUUUGUUAGUUUGGUGUUACAUACCAUUUGGCAGGGGCAGUAGUUGACUGGAACUUCGAAGGGACGGGAUGUAUCUUAGAUGUUAGUCCUCUGUCUGCGGUGUCUGAAACUGUGAUCAAAGGUCUUUCAAGCAGCUAUCACAUCAACAGAGUGCCCCUAGGUAGUGUCACCUGUUUUGAAGAGAAACUAUACAAAGCUGCAGUUGCACUUAGAUAGCAAAGAUACAAAAUAGGUUGCUGGUAAGGGUUAUAUCUUGGUAGGACUACCUCUUGUGGGACAGAUGUAGCUGAAAGGCUGCAGAGUGUCAGGGGAAGAAUUAGUUUUAAACGUUUUAUUUUCUCCAUCGUCCAGUGUGAAACUCUCUCUUCCCACACAUACAGAGUUUAAUAAAAAAAAAAAAAAAAAAAAGACGACAAGUAGCAAGGCACACAUAAGGAAAGAAAGACUACUUAGUUAAAUCACUUAGAAACAUUUAGUAAAGAAUCACAGGUGGAUGCCACUACUGCUGUGAAGGGUGAGACAGAACUGAUAGACUGCUGUGCUAGCUAGUAGAAGAUGCUGUUAGAAGACUUUCAUCAUCAGAGAUGGCUUGGAAAGUGGAAUUUGCAGCAAUGAAUUGCAAAUUUCCAUC